CUUGAUCAAGAUUUUUUCUCGCAAUAAUUGAUGCUUCAAUUUCUACCUUAAAGGACUUGGCAGCGAUGAUUUCUUUCGAGCCGCCAUCACUCUUUUCUUGUGAUUUUGCAAUGAAAUGAUCGAAUUCUGAAAAUAGCAUCGUACUUUCAAGAUCAAUUUGAGUGUUAUCUUUGUGAGCCAUUGUUCUUGCUUUGGGAGUGAGAGAGAGGGCUGAAAGAGUAUUCUAUGAGAGAGAAGCACCAAAUUUGUGGCUUACAAAAGCGGUUAUUUCUGUUAAGAAGUUGUAGAUUAUGGACAUAUAUUCUCCUUAUGCUUGUAUGUGGAUAAAUAUUUUACAUUUGAUGCAGGAAAAAUGCCUCAAUCUUGUGGACAACAGAUCAUCAAUGAAGCUGAAGAACAUAAAUAAGCAUUUUAUGUGAAGAGGCAACUCAAUUGUGAAACCAACAAAGCUCAUAACAGAGAAGUUUUAUUAUGGAAGUGGAAUGGAUGUGUUUCUGCAGCUAUACUAUGAAACCAAGAAAAUUUCCAUAAAGGAGCUGGCAAUCAUCACUGAGAGCCAUUGCGGAAGCAAUUCCUCGAGAGGUACAAAAUAUUGAAAGAAGACAGGGAAGGAAAAUGCUGAAAAGGAACUGUAUAUUUGGGUCAGCGUCGAAAUCCUCGGAAACCCGCUGAUCUUUUGAGGAUCGGAAGACUUCUCUUGAAGUUAAAUCACAGCAUUCCACCUCGCAUGCUGGUGAUGCUCAGUAGAAAACGUUAAAUAAAAGAGGGUGGACUGCAUAACUUGGGUACUGUUAUGUUUUUACAGUUGAAAUCGCGUUUUGUGAUUUGUAAAUUUUGUUUUUUUCUUGUCUAAUGAAGAAUGAACUAGGUUAGUUCUC
Molecule: long non-coding RNA, 878 nt
Organism: Populus euphratica (Euphrates poplar)
Lineage: Eukaryota; Viridiplantae; Streptophyta; Magnoliopsida; Malpighiales; Salicaceae
Exons: 2
Source: RefSeq, a predicted model, not a curated record